RNAcentral lists this ribosomal RNA (277 nucleotides) under uncultured prokaryote. Its description in RNAcentral is "partial 16S ribosomal RNA". It matches the Rfam family "Bacterial small subunit ribosomal RNA", at positions 524 to 800 of the family's 1533-position model. The record is from RNAcentral.
UACGUAGGUGGCAAGCGUUAUCCGGAAUUAUUGGGCGUAAAGAGCGCGCAGGUGGUUGAUUAAGUCUGAUGUGAAAGCCCACGGCUUAACCGUGGAGGGUCAUUGGAAACUGGUCGACUUGAGUGCAGGAGAGGUUAUCGGAAUUCCCGGUGUAGCGGUGAAAUGCGUAGAGAUCGGGAGGAACACCAGUGGCGAAGGCGGGUAACUGGACUGCAACUGACGCUGAGGCGCGAAAGUGUGGGGAGCAAACAGGAUUAGAUACCCGGGUAGUCCCUGA